GACGAACGCUGGCGGCGUGCUUAACACAUGCAAGUCGUACGGUAAGGCCCUUUCGGGGGUACACGAGUGGCGAACGGGUGAGUAACACGUGAGUAACCUGCCCACAACUUUGGGAUAACGCUAGGAAACUGGUGCUAAUACUGGAUAUGUGUUCCUGCUGCAUGGUGGGGGUUGGAAAGCUCCGGCGGUUGUGGAUGGACUCGCGGCCUAUCAGCUUGUUGGUGGGGUAGUGGCCUACCAAGGCGGCGACGGGUAGCCGGCCUGAGAGGGUGACCGGCCACAUUGGGACUGAGAUACGGCCCAGACUCCAACGGGAGGCAGCAGAGGGAAUAUUGCACAAUGGGCGCAAGCCUGAUGCAGCAACGCCGCGUGCGGGAUGACGGCCUUCGGGUUGUAAACCGCUUUCAGCAGGGACGAAGCUUUUUGUGACGGUACCUGCAGAAGAAGCACCGGCUAACUACGUG
RNAcentral lists this ribosomal RNA (464 nucleotides) under uncultured bacterium. RNAcentral describes it as "partial 16S ribosomal RNA". It matches the Rfam family "Bacterial small subunit ribosomal RNA", at positions 28 to 507 of the family's 1533-position model. The record is from RNAcentral.